CCUACGGGGGGCAGCAGUGAGGAAUAUUGGUCAAUGGACGAGAGUCUGAACCAGCCAAGUAGCGUGAAGGAUGACGGCCCUAGGGGUUGUAAACUUCUUUUAUAAAGGAAUAAAACGAGGCACGUGUGCCUUUUUGCAUGUACUUUAUGAAUAAGGAUCGGCUAACUCCGUGCCAGCAGCCGCGGUAAUACGGAGGCUCCGAGCGUUAUCCGGAUUUAGUGGGUUUAAAGGGAGCGUAGAUGGGUUGUUAAGUCAGGUUUGAAGGUUUGCGGCUCAACCGUAAAAUUGCAAUUGAUACUGGCAGUCUUGAGUACAGUUGAGGUAGGCGGAAUUCGUUGUGUAGCGGUGAAAUGCUUAGAUAUCACGAAGAACCCCGAUUGCGAAGGCAGCUUACUAAACUGUGACUGACAUUGAUGCUCGAAAGUGUGGGUAUCAAACAGGAUUAGAUACCCUGGUAGUC
RNAcentral lists this ribosomal RNA (460 nucleotides) under uncultured bacterium. Its description in RNAcentral is "partial 16S ribosomal RNA". It matches the Rfam family "Bacterial small subunit ribosomal RNA", at positions 338 to 795 of the family's 1533-position model. The record is from RNAcentral.